RNAcentral lists this ribosomal RNA (254 nucleotides) under uncultured bacterium. RNAcentral's name for it is "partial 16S ribosomal RNA". It matches the Rfam family "Bacterial small subunit ribosomal RNA", at positions 524 to 776 of the family's 1533-position model. The record is from RNAcentral.
UACAGAGGUCCCAAGCGUUUGUUCGGAUUCACUGGGCGUAAAGGGUGCGUAGGUGGCGAGGUAAGUCGGAUGUGAAAUCUCCGAGCUCAACUCGGAAAUGGCAUUGGAAACUACCUUGCUCGAGGGUUGGAGGGGGGACUGGAAUGCUUGGUGUAGCAGUGAAAUGCGUAGAUAUCAAGCGGAACACCAGUGGCGAAGGCGAGUCCCUGGACAACUCCUGACACUGAGGCACGAAAGCUAGGGGAGCAAACAGG